Molecule: non-coding RNA, 185 nt
Organism: Salvelinus sp. IW2-2015
Lineage: Eukaryota; Metazoa; Chordata; Actinopteri; Salmoniformes; Salmonidae
Source: RefSeq, a predicted model, not a curated record
GGGCUGUUGUGAUCAGGAACAAUGCCGGUCCGGUGGUUAAAGCUUGGAGAACUUUCCAGUUCAUCAGCCCCAUCAUUACCUACAUGCAUGGGGGAUCCCAGCAGGUGGUGGUGAGGAUGCACCACGUGAGUAGGGUGAGAGGCUGGAGACUCAACUGGUGUGGGCCAUCUCCAAGGAGACAGCCA